Pezoporus occidentalis (night parrot) is the source of this 2843-nucleotide long non-coding RNA. RefSeq lists it as uncharacterized. NCBI's taxonomy places the organism in Eukaryota, Metazoa, Chordata, Aves, Psittaciformes, Psittacidae. The transcript is spliced from 2 exons. The record is from RefSeq and is a predicted model, not a curated record.
UUAUGGCAGGCUUCGCAAAAGAGCCUCUGCUGAGGUGUUCUCUGUGCUGAGUACUCUUCUCCGUCAGCGGGUGUAGGAAGCGGACCUGCCCUGGUGGGGGUAGGUCUGUCUGAUCCUUUAUCUACGUGCUUGCCUCGUCGUUUGGCUCUGUGGAGCCUGUUCACCCCCACAGGCACCUCUGGCCACCACACCAUGGGUGUGUUGCCAGCUCUGUGUGGAGCUUUCUUGUCUGUGGUUAAAGCUGGUCCUCUGAGAGCUUUGGUCUCUGUGGCUGGUGCUGAGGUAAGUGGUGAAUGAGCUGUCACACAAUCUGUCCCUCCAUCACAUUCCCCUCAGGCCUCUCCUGUCCUGUACUAAUGUGGUUGAACGGCUCUGCCUCCAGAAGAGGGCACUGCUUCAGCGUGUUUGUUCCGUAACCGUGCAGAGGCUGUACAAGAUGGACCUAAUGCUCUCAUGUACUAUUGUGCAUUUCCCAAACGAGCUGUAGAAUUUCAAGAAUGAGUCUAACAGUACAUUUGACAGUGAUAAAUUGCACUGUGUAAUUAGGAGCUUUCUGAUUAACUAACACCAACUACAGUGAAGGAAUCAAAAAUGUCUUCAAUUUGAAGUUAAUAGGCUCCUAACAUGAUAUUUGCCAAUAAGCCAUCUGAAUGCUGGCUGACAUAUAGGACAGGUGGCAAAAAAACCAUGCCUUGUGCUCAUCACCAUGUCCCCCUGUUCAUGCCUGCACAGAAGUGCUGCUGUUACAGUACCAAAACCCCUCAGGGAGAAGACUCUCACAAACAAGGGAUUUAGGCUUUAUCUUGAAAAAACCCUGUGCUAUGCCAGAGCGCCAUGGAGCAUUGCAGUCCUCCCUGUGUUAUCGCAAUGAGGCCCAUGCUGCUCAGAUUUCCCUGGCUGAAGGCUUCUCAGUAAAAACUUUCCAGAUGCCUGGAAGAUGUUCUGCGGCGCUGUCUGUCCUUCCCCUCUCAAAUCCUGCAGAUGGUGCUGUUACCACAGGAUGGUAUUCUGAACAUGCAACAAAACCGGGUGGCUAAAAGGUGUUCCAUGUGUGGUCCUCUUGUCACGGAAAGAUCUUUGUUAGACCUGAGGUUUUGUUGGUUUGGGUCUUCUUCCCCUCACGACCCUUUUUUUUUUUUUUUCCUGAACUCCAUAAAGAUAGAGGGCUUUUACUCUCAAAAACACCUAAAAGAAAAAUAACUUAUUUAGAAGUGCAGUUGUGCCUCUAGUCUGCCUCUAGUCAUGAGCCUUUCCAUUAUAUCUAUAGCUUUAGGGAUCAUUCUGACUUACUAGUCAAGCAGUAUCCUUACCAUACUUGGCUUGUUUCUUGGUUACUUCUCUGUUGCAGAGGAGACAUGAAACCCAGGCCUUGACUAUUUGUAGGUACGACAAACCCUGUGGGAUGUUUUGUGAUAGGGGGCCACUUUCCAUGAAAGUCAACUAGAAUGUGCUGGGUAAAAUUCUUCUCCCAGUUUCAAUGCGUAUGAAAUCUUCACUUCCUGUUCCAAACAGCACUGUAUCUCUGACUUUAUCCUCUGUGCUAAGGCAUCUGCUAGAUACAAUAUCUCAAUGGUACUGUCAGUUAAUUAGAACAGUUACUGUUUUAAUAACAAAUUACCCAUUGUAGUUACAACUUACAGCUUAAUGCACUUGACCUGUCAGAAGAGAGGUGUUGGACAACCUCACCAAAAUGGAAGGGAGCUUUACUUUGUGUUUUGGUGUGCAGGUCACAAAACCUUCCUAGGAUACAACCAUUUUUGCUCUACUGCCCUAAGUUUCAUAAGGACUUGAAUUCAAACUUCUCCCAGGGAAGCCGAAAUUGCAGAAGUAUAGAACCACUAAGAGUUUGUGGGGACUAGAAAUAUCUGUAGUGUGCUAAAUUACAUCUCUUAAGCUUCCAAGACAUCCUCUCCCUGUUAAAGCUGAUAUUAGCCUAAGUGUCCCAUUUACUCCAGAUGCCACUGCAUGCCCAAGGCAAUGGUGCAGAUCAGCAGUCUCUGUUGAUGCACAGUUUAGUGGAGUGGUGUUACGUGCUGCAUGAUGAAUCUGCAGCCCCUAGUAGGGGUAAGAUGAGAGAGGCUCCUGCAGUUCACAUUCAUGAAACAUGGAAGAAAGAAGAGGCUCCCUGGGGACUUUCAUGGUAUCUCUCAAAGACAAUGGUGGUUAACUUGUUAUCUCCCUAGUGGGAUUGGUUAUCAUGUUGUCUACUCAGUCAAAACCCUCUAAUAAGUGUCAGGCAUUAGAUUCUAAUUAGAUACCUGCAUGAAUCUGUUGUCUGUUUAUGUUUUUAUGUGACAUAUAAGCUUCAGUGGAUGGAGAAACCUCCCUUUGAUGUCAGAAUGUUUCCCAUCAUAGUGGGUAAAGGCUUCACAGGGACAUAACACAUUUUCCAGACUUAAGCCAGGCAUGAAAACAUUAUCUCUUGACAGGUUUGGGCCAGCCCCAAGAGCUGCUACCUUCAUUCUUGUGAGGGUUAAUGAAUCCUGACGAUUAUAUGUGUGUGUGUGUGAGGUAGAGGUCUGAACUGGAAUUCACCCAAAAGCAGAGAGCAAGAGGGGUCCCCAAAGCCAGUCUUUCUGCAUAGGCAGCCCCAGAAUAUACAGCUUGUGUGAAAACUUUUACAUUUUCACACUACCAGCAAGGUGGUGAUGGCUCUGUCUAUUACUCAGCUGAACUGUUAAUGUCUGGGGAGAGUGUAAAGCUCAGUGAAGUGCCACUCUGAAUGAUUCUCCUCCUCAUCUUUAGAAGCCUUUGUGAACUUUUGAAAUUUGUGAUUAUUUUUAUUACUUUUUCUUUAAUAUGGUUUCAGGUAAAUGUGAUACUAAAGUAAAUGCCUGAAACCA